GACGAACGCUGGCGGCGUGCCUAAUACAUGCAAGUCGAACGCUUCUUUCCUCCCGAGUGCUUGCACUCAAUUGGAAAGAGGAGUGGCGGACGGGUGAGUAACACGUGGGUAACCUACCCAUCAGAGGGGGAUAGCACUUGGAAACAGGUGCUAAUACCGCAUAACAGUUUAUGCCGCAUGGCAUAAGAGUGAAAGGCGCUUUCGGGUGUCGUUGAUGGAUGGACCCGCGGUGCAUUAGCUAGUUGGUGAGGUAACGGCUCACCAAGGCCACGAUGCAUAGCCGACCUGAGAGGGUGAUCGGCCACACUGGGACUGAGACACGGCCCAGACUCCUACGGGAGGCAGCAGUAGGGAAUCUUCGGCAAUGGACGAAAGUCUGACCGAGCAACGCCGCGUGAGUGAAGAAGGUUUUCGGAUCGUAAAACUCUGUUGUUAGAGAAGAACAAGGACGUUAGUAACUGAACGUCCCCUGACGGUAUCUAACCAGAAAGCCACGGCUAACUACGUG
RNAcentral lists this ribosomal RNA (508 nucleotides) under uncultured bacterium. Its description in RNAcentral is "partial 16S ribosomal RNA". It matches the Rfam family "Bacterial small subunit ribosomal RNA", at positions 28 to 507 of the family's 1533-position model. The record is from RNAcentral.